AUUGAACGCUGGCGGAAUGCUUUACACAUGCAAGUCGAACGGCAGCACGGGAGCUUGCUCCUGGUGGCGAGUGGCGAACGGGUGAGUAACGCGUCGGAACGUACCGAGUAAUGGGGGAUAACGCAGCGAAAGCUGUGCUAAUACCGCAUACGCCCUGAGGGGGAAAGUGGGGGAUCGCAAGACCUCACGUUAUUCGAGCGGCCGACGUCUGAUUAGCUUGUUGGUGGGGUAAUGGCCUACCAAGGCGACGAUCAGUAGCGGGUCUGAGAGGAUGAUCCGCCACACUGGAACUGAGACACGGUCCAGACUCCUACGGGAGGCAGCAGUGGGGAAUUUUGGACAAUGGGGGCAACCCUGAUCCAGCCAUUCCGCGUGAGUGAAGAAGGCCUUCGGGUUGUAAAGCUCUUUCAGCUGGAACGAAACGGUACAUCCUAAUACGGUGUGCUAAUGACGGUACCAGCAGAAGAAGCACCGGCUAACUACGUGCCAGCAGCCGCGGUAAUACGUAGGGUGCGAGCGUUAAUCGGAAUUACUGGGCGUAAAGCGUGCGCAGGCGGAUUGUUAAGCAAGAUGUGAAAUCCCCGGGCUUAACCUGGGAAUGGCAUUUUGAACUGGCAGUCUAGAGUGUGUCAGAGGGGGGUGGAAUUCCACGUGUAGCAGUGAAAUGCGUAGAGAUGUGGAGGAACACCAAUGGCGAAGGCAGCCCCCUGGGAUAACACUGACGCUCAUGUACGAAAGCGUGGGUAGCAAACAGGAUUAGAUACCCUGGUAGUCCACGCCCUAAACGAUGUCAACUGGUUGUUGGGGGAGUGAAAUCCCUUAGUAACGAAGCUAACGCGUGAAGUUGACCGCCUGGGGAGUACGGUCGCAAGAUUAAAACUCAAAGGAAUUGACGGGGACCCGCACAAGCGGUGGAUGAUGUGGAUUAAUUCGAUGCAACGCGAAAAACCUUACCUACCCUUGACAUGUCCAGAACCCUGCAGAGAUGCGGGGGUGCCCGAAGGGAAUUGGAACACAGGUGCUGCAUGGCUGUCGUCAGCUCGUGUCGUGAGAUGUUGGGUUAAGUCCCGCAACGAGCGCAACCCUUAUCAUUAGCUGCUACGCAAGGGCACUCUAAUGAGACUGCCGGUGACAAACCGGAGGAAGGUGGGGAUGACGUCAAGUCCUCAUGGCCCUUAUGGGUAGGGCUUCACACGUCAUACAAUGGUCGGUACAGAGGGUUGCCAAGCCGCGAGGUGGAGCCAAUCCCAGAAAGCCGAUCGUAGUCCGGAUUGUUCUCUGCAACUCGAGAGCAUGAAGUCGGAAUCGCUAGUAAUCGCGGAUCAGCAUGUCGCGGUGAAUACGUUCCCGGGUCU
Molecule: ribosomal RNA, 1355 nt
Filed under: uncultured soil bacterium
Lineage: Bacteria
Description: bacterial SSU rRNA
Rfam family: Bacterial small subunit ribosomal RNA
Source: RNAcentral